GUUAACGGGGCAGAAGUCAAAGGUAGAUUGAAAAGUUUUAUUCCAAAGAUUAAUUUUUUAGUUUCUGCUGAAACGGAAUGAACUGUGAUCCCAGGCCUACUACUGUUUAAUUGAUGAAGCAGCAGUAGAAUGGCGUUUCCCAUCACAAAAUUUGAAACGAACAAGUAAUUCAUUCAUUGCCAGCUACUUCUAGGGUUUGGACUUUGGAGUUUGACCCUCUCUACUCGGGCGCAUGAAACUACUGGACUUUUGACCUAUCCCCUCUCCUUCUUCUGAUAAGGGACAACAAGGUGCCUAAGUGCAUCAUUUUUUAAGGAAAAAAAGUCGAAAAUCUUUUGGAGAGUUGUAGUUAAGAGUCCUUUGAUGGCGCUCAUACAGUAACUCUAAGAUAUGGGAUGUCUGGUUUCAACUCCAAAGGACUAUUGGG
Molecule: long non-coding RNA, 427 nt
Organism: Hibiscus syriacus
Lineage: Eukaryota; Viridiplantae; Streptophyta; Magnoliopsida; Malvales; Malvaceae
Exons: 3
Source: RefSeq, a predicted model, not a curated record